RNAcentral lists this ribosomal RNA (516 nucleotides) under uncultured bacterium. Its description in RNAcentral is "partial 16S ribosomal RNA". It matches the Rfam family "Bacterial small subunit ribosomal RNA", at positions 356 to 862 of the family's 1533-position model. The record is from RNAcentral.
GGGGAAUAUUGGACAAUGGGGGGAACCCUGAUCCAGCCAUGCCGCGUGUGUGAAGAAGGCCUUAUGGUUGUAAAGCACUUUAAGCGAGGAGGAGGCUCUUUUGGUUAAUACCCAAGAUGAGUGGACGUUACUCGCAGAAUAAGCACCGGCUAACUCUGUGCCAGCAGCCGCGGUAAUACAGAGGGUGCGAGCGUUAAUCGGAUUUACUGGGCGUAAAGCGUGCGUAGGCGGCUUUUUAAGUCGGAUGUGAAAUCCCCGAGCUUAACUUGGGAAUUGCAUUCGAUACUGGGAAGCUAGAGUAUGGGAGAGGAUGGUAGAAUUCCAGGUGUAGCGGUGAAAUGCGUAGAGAUCUGGAGGAAUACCGAUGGCGAAGGCAGCCAUCUGGCCUAAUACUGACGCUGAGGUACGAAAGCAUGGGGAGCAAACAGGAUUAGGAUACCCUGGUAGUCCAUGCCGUAAACGAUGUCUACUAGCCGUUGGGGUCUUUGAGACUUUAGUGGCGCAGCUAACGCGAUA